UGCUAAUCUGCGAUAAGCGUCGGUGAGGUGAUAUGAACCGUUAUAACCGGCGAUUUCCGAAUGGGGAAACCCAGUGUGUUUCGACACACUAUCAUUAACUGAAUCCAUAGGUUAAUGAGGCGAACCGGGGGAACUGAAACAUCUAAGUACCCCGAGGAAAAGAAAUCAACCGAGAUUCCCCCAGUAGCGGCGAGCGAACGGGGAGGAGCCCAGAGCCUGAAUCAGUGUGUGUGUUAGUGGAAGCGUCUGGAAAGGCGUGCGAUACAGGGUGACAGCCCCGUACACAAAAAUGCACAUACUGUGAGCUCGAUGAGUAGGGCGGGACACGUGGUAUCCUGUCUGAAUAUGGGGGGACCAUCCUCCAAGGCUAAAUACUCCUGACUGACCGAUAGUGAACCAGUACCGUGAGGGAAAGGCGAAAAGAACCCCGGCGAGGGGAGUGAAAAAGAACCUGAAACCGUGUACGUACAAGCAGUGGGAGCCUCUUAAUGGGGUGACUGCGUACCUUUUGUAUAAUGGGUCAGCGACUUAUAUUCUGUAGCAAGGUUAACCGAAUAGGGGAGCCGAAGGGAAACCGAGUCUUAACUGGGCGUUAAGUUGCAGGGUAUAGACCCGAAACCCGGUGAUCUAGCCAUGGGCAGGUUGAAGGUUGGGUAACACUAACUGGAGGACCGAACCGACUAAUGUUGAAAAAUUAGCGGAUGACUUGUGGCUGGGGGUGAAAGGCCAAUCAAACCGGGAGAUAGCUGGUUCUCCCCGAAAGCUAUUUAGGUAGCGCCUCGUGAAUUCAUCUCCGGGGGUAGAGCACUGUUUCGGCAAGGGGGUCAUCCCGACUUACCAACCCGAUGCAAACUGCGAAUACCGGAGAAUGUUAUCACGGGAGACACACGGCGGGUGCUAACGUCCGUCGUGAAGAGGGAAACAACCCAGACCGCCAGCUAAGGUCCCAAAGUCAUGGUUAAGUGGGAAACGAUGUGGGAAGGCCCAGACAGCCAGGAUGUUGGCUUAGAAGCAGCCAUCAUUUAAAGAAAGCGUAAUAGCUCACUGGUCGAGUCGGCCUGCGCGGAAGAUGUAACGGGGCUAAACCAUGCACCGAAGCUGCGGCAGCGACACUAUGUGUUGUUGGGUAGGGGAGCG
This 1137-nucleotide ribosomal RNA is filed under the name Escherichia coli. RNAcentral describes it as "partial 23S ribosomal RNA". It matches the Rfam family "Bacterial large subunit ribosomal RNA", at positions 59 to 1238 of the family's 2925-position model. Lineage: Bacteria; Pseudomonadati; Pseudomonadota; Gammaproteobacteria; Enterobacterales; Enterobacteriaceae. The record is from RNAcentral.